AGACCCGCCUCUCCCGCGGCGCCUCCGCCUCACUCCAUCCGGCUCCCAAGUAGCCGCGGGAAGCGUGCUGCCCAGGCGCAAGGGAAACGCUGCAGGCACCGGGGAAACGGCGGCCCCGGCCGCUCCGAGCAAUCCGCCCCCUGCUCCCGCCACCCGAGCCCGGCCACGAGCCGUCGGCUCGGCUCUGCCCGACCGGGCUCAGCCGCUCGCGGACUGCACCAUUUUCUUCGCAGCCCGCCCGGAGCCGAGGCGCCGGCUCACUCGGCGGCGUGCAGAGAAUCCCGGCCGGGUCUCGGCGUCCCGCGAUCGGGCUCCUUGGCGCGCGGCGGCCGCGAGGUGAAUGGGGCGAGGGUGGGGGAGGGAGGCCGGGGCGCGGGGCUUCCCCUCCCCGCCUCCUCCUCCUCCUCUAGCCGCGGCGGCUCGGGAGCCUCGCGGGCGCGGCCGGUGCUGGGGAGCGAGAGCCCAGGCUGCGCCCGGGGUGCUCGCGAAAUCGCAUCGCCCGGCUGCGGGCGCCGGAGGAAGCCGCUGCCGCGCUCGCUCGCUCGCUCGCUCAGCUCGGGCGCCCGGCGCUGCAGCCUUGGCUAAAACCCACAGACGAGAACACGGAGCGCGCAGCCAAAAGCUAGUGAUGUCAUCCGUGCAACUUUGAAAAUCGGGAACGAGGCGUUUCAGUGCCAUCUAGUGGGGGAGGGGCGUGCCUCCCUUUCUGAUCCUGGAUGCGGCACUGGGAUUUGCUGAAAGGGACAGCAGAGCCUGAGGAUGUCCGCCCGGUUCCUGGGUGCCCGGCUGGCAGAGAGGCGUGGGCAUGUGCCCUUUGCCAACCCCUGGUGCCCUGGGUCCCCUGGGACGGCGAGGUGGGGCCCAGGGACUUGACCACAAUUUCUUCUCACCUUCCUUUCUACCCUCCUCCCACCAGUUCCCUCUCCCCCAACGUGAAAAUGUGGAAACGAGCGCAAACACUUUGCACACAUGGAGACAAUGUCUGAAAUUUCUGGAGCUAUUUUCUCCUGUAAAGCCCAGAGCACUAUGUCUAUGUUUGACCAUAGGGAGAAGGCAGAAAGGUGAAAUGAUACCUACAAGGUCACUCAGCAAGUUGGUACACAUCCAGCAUUAGAGCCUCACUCUCCUGAUUCUCAGUUCUCCCCUCCCCUGCGAACCAGCUAGGAGAGGUGCCCCUGGAGACCCCUGGAAGCCCAGGUAGCCACCCAUUUGGCAAUAAAGGAGCCUGACCAUUUUAUCCCUAUCUGCCCUCCCUUUUCCAUUAUCCCAUUCCUUUCUUGUUCUUCCUUUUUACCAUUUUCUCUUGGCCUAUGCCUUAGGCCUACUUCCAAGACUAUGCCUUGCCUCUCCUCCCAUGGUCCUCCUCAGCAGUCCGGUGAUUAGGGCCCUGCUAAGAGAAGGGACCCAAUGGCACACUGUCCUUUUUUCUGAACAUCAUUAAAAUUAUAUUUUGAAAUGUUUGUCCCUGGUGACAUCCCAAAAGCCUUUUAAAGAUGUUCAUUUGAGGCCUCCUUUGAAAUGCUGUUUUCCUGGACAGUCCUGCUCCAUUUUGAGAAGAUCCUUGUUGGGGCCAGGCGGGAAGGGAAACUCCUCAAGAUGGCAGAUACACCAAAAUGGCUGAGGUUCCUGUCACCACCUCCACUUGGGACACCAAUGGACCAAUGACCUGCUGACAGCUUGAGCAGACCCUUACACCUCUCCUUUGGACUUCCCCAACCGAACCCAAUGCCCUUCAAACCCCAGAGGAGGAAGUCACCUUUGACUGGUCGAAUUGCAAUCCUUCCUUUGCAUAUGAGCCAACCAAUAGGAAACCGUUCUGCCUUACAACGUUAUGUAAACCCCGACCACCUUGUCUUGGCGCGACUUCCUCGACUCACUCUCUUUCCCCCAUGAGUCGUGGAACCUCGCCCGAGGGUGCCUGCAAUAAAAUCUGUUCUUGGACCCUCGCUUGCCUUGGCGGUCUCAUUUCCA
This 1971-nucleotide long non-coding RNA is filed under the name Canis lupus familiaris (dog). RNAcentral's name for it is "lncRNA (ENSCAFG00000059416.1)". Lineage: Eukaryota; Metazoa; Chordata; Mammalia; Carnivora; Canidae. The record is from RNAcentral.